RNAcentral lists this ribosomal RNA (254 nucleotides) under uncultured bacterium. RNAcentral's name for it is "partial 16S ribosomal RNA". It matches the Rfam family "Bacterial small subunit ribosomal RNA", at positions 524 to 776 of the family's 1533-position model. The record is from RNAcentral.
UACGUAGGGUGCAAGCGUUGUCCGGAAUUAUUGGGCGUAAAGAGCUCGUAGGCGGUUUGUCACGUCGGAUGUGAAACCCUGAGGCUCAACCUCAGGCCUGCAUUCGAUACGGGCAGACUAGAAUUCGGCAGGGGAGACUGGAAUUCCUGGUGUAGCGGUGAAAUGCGCAGAUAUCAGGAGGAACACCGGUGGCGAAGGCGGGUCUCUGGGCCGAUAUUGACGCUGAGGAGCGAAAGCGUGGGGGAGCAAACAGG